GCCAGUUCUGGCCCCAUCGGUGAAUCAUCCGCACCUGCAGCACUGCUGGAGCCACUGCAAACCCGGGGUACUUGCUGGUUUGGGUUUAUUUCCACGUGUUGCUGAUUAAACCUACCCAGAAUGGAUGACCCCAUCAUUGCGUGAGCCAAGUUGCUGUUGCCACCAACCUAAAGACAUAUGGAGCCAUAAGGACAGGAACCAUUCUGUUUAUUUCUGUUUUAGACCUUCCACGUAUAUGGGAUUUUGAACUCAUCUUCAUCAGUCAUAUGAGGGAACCGAUA
This 281-nucleotide long non-coding RNA is filed under the name Suricata suricatta (meerkat). RNAcentral's name for it is "lncRNA (ENSSSUG00005000523.1)". The record is from RNAcentral. Lineage: Eukaryota; Metazoa; Chordata; Mammalia; Carnivora; Herpestidae.